This 779-nucleotide ribosomal RNA is filed under the name uncultured soil archaeon. Its description in RNAcentral is "bacterial SSU rRNA". It matches the Rfam family "Archaeal small subunit ribosomal RNA", at positions 77 to 840 of the family's 1478-position model. The record is from RNAcentral.
UUCGGCGCACAGCUCAGUAACACGUGGCUAACCUGCCCUUGGGACAGAAACAUCCCCGGGAAACUGGGGCUAAUUUCCGAUAGGUGAAGACUCCUGGAAUGGAUUUUCGCCGAAAGGGCGCUUAGGGCAUGCUUCUAGGCGUUGCCCAAGGAUGGGGCCGCGGCCGAUCAGGUUGUUGGUGAGGUAAUGGCUCACCAAGCCUUUAACCGGUACGGGCCGUGGGAGCGGUAGCCCGGAGAUGGGCACUGAGACAAGGGCCCAGGCCCUACGGGGCGCAGCAGUCGCGAAAACUUCGCAAUAAGCGAAAGCUUGACGGGGCCAUCCCGAGUGCCAUCUGCUGAGGAUGGCUUUUAUCCAGUAUAGAUAGCUGGGGGAAUAAGGAGAGGGCAAGUCUGGUGUCAGCCGCCGCGGUAAUACCAGCUCUCCGAGUUGUAGGGAUGUUUAUUGGGCCUAAAGCAUCCGUAGCCGGCUGGACAAGUCCUCUGUUAAAUCCAGCGACCAAUCGUUGGUCUGCGGGGGAUACUGUCCGGCUAGGGGGCGGGAGAGGCCGUCGGUAUUCUUGGGGUAGGGGUGAAAUCCUAUAAUCCCAGGAGGACCACCAGUGGCGAAGGCUGUCGGCUAGUACGCGCCCGACGGUGAGGGAUGAAAGCUGGGGGAGCGAACCGGAUUAGAUACCCGGGUAGUCCCAGCUGUAAACGAUGCAGGCUAGGUGUUAGGUAGUCUACGUGCCGCUCUAGUGCCGCAGGGAAGCUGUUAAGCCUGCCGCCUGGUUACAAAGC